RNAcentral lists this ribosomal RNA (275 nucleotides) under uncultured bacterium. RNAcentral's name for it is "partial 16S ribosomal RNA". It matches the Rfam family "Bacterial small subunit ribosomal RNA", at positions 79 to 353 of the family's 1533-position model. The record is from RNAcentral.
CUAAGUUUGAUGGCGACCGGCGCACGGGUGAGUAACACGUAUCCAACCUGCCGAUGACUCGGGGAUAGCCUUUCGAAAGAAAGAUUAAUACCCGAUGGCAUAGUUCUUCCGCAUGGUGGAACUAUUAAAGAAUUUCGGUCAUCGAUGGGGAUGCGUUCCAUUAGGUUGUUGGCGGGGUAACGGCCCACCAAGCCUUCGAUGGAUAGGGGUUCAGAGAGGAAGGUCCCCCACAUUGGAACUGAGACACGGUCCAAACUCCUACGGGAGGCAGCAUG